UCAUCAGAAGUCAGGGAACUUAUCAGCGAGGCAUUUAUUGAGCAUCUACUGUGUUCCUAAGAUGAUGCUAAAGUGCUGAGACAGGAGUUCCUGCUGUGGCUUAAUGGGAUCGGCAGCAUCUCAGAGGCGUGGGGAGGUAUGUUCGAUCCCCAACCUGGCACAGUGGGUUGAUGCCAUGGCUGUGGCAUAGGUCGCAACUGCAGUUCGAAUCUGACCCCUGGCCUGGAAGCUCCAAAUGUUGAGGGGCAGCCACAAAAACAAAAAGAAGAAAAGGGAGUGGCCCAAGGAAGGGCUCCCUCAGUCUGCCUGGCAGGCUUCAUGGAGGAGGUGACCUUGGAGUGGACUUGAGCAGUGAGUGAUAAGCCUGGUGCAUAUAAGCAAGAGGAGACUGAUGUACUUUGGGCAAAGGCUUAGAGUCCUGGGGAUACAGGAGUUUAGGCUUUAAUACAGCAGCCCUGGGGACCCAUCAAAAAUUCUUGAGCAGGGGAGGGCCAUAAUCAGAUUUAUGUUUUACGUAUACAGGAAGGAUAGAGGCAGGAGGGGUAACGAAGAGAGCCUUGAUCAGAUGUGCGGGAGAGGUGAGCACCUAGGGUAAUUCCCCACGUGUCCCCUUUGUGGGUGAUGGAGUCUCACCAGGGUGAGCCUGUGGACGGGGAGCGGGGGAGGGGUGGUUCUUAGAGGGCGUCCAGGUGACAUCUGAGAGGACAGAAGGACAUCCGGGGAUGGAGCCUGGGACAUAGCGCUGGGCAGGAGGACACGACUAUCAGCAGCAUGUUUGGAGCUGUGGGAGUUCAUGACACUGAUAGGAACAGCUGGCAGAGACUGUUGGCUCUCACGGAAGCCCGUGUGUCUCUUCUUCCAGCUUGUGUUUUUGGAAACAGGUAGACCCAGUUCUCAGCCUCCCUUGCAGUUGGGUGAGAACGUGGGACUGAGUGCUACCCAAUGGGAAGUAAGUGCAUGACCCAAAAAAACCUCCACAAGCCUGUUCUCAUCCUCUUUCCCUCUUGGCGGGCAGAAUGGAGACCUCGUGGGGCAAGCUGGGAAGACACGGGUUGCAGGUGGCGCCGUCCCAUCAGCCUGGGUGUCUGCAUGACUGUGGAAGAGGCCGCCCGUCACCCGCCAUCCCUGCCUGGGACUGUUGUGUGAGCGAGAGGGAAAUGACGAGGGUUGAACCACUCUCCGUUUUGGGGUCCACUGUAGCCAAAAUUCUAUUAUUUGGUAAAAGUAAUAGCAAGCGAGUAGUGAGACAACUUUGGAUGUGGUGAUAGCCAUAGAGAGGUAUCUGCUUUAAGCCUCAUAAUAACUCCAGGAAGAAGGUGCUCUUACUAACCCAUUUUACAAUUGAAGGGACAGGCCCAGAGAAGAGCUGUCCAAGGCCCAAGGUCACACAGGUAGUAAGUGGCAGAGGCAAGAUUCAAACCUAGAUUUACCUGAUUAAUACCUGGAAUCGAAAACAUUUUUACUUUGUUAGAUGUCCUUCCAGUAGAAAGGUCAUUCAGAUCCACUGCAAUGUCAAGCAUGACUGAAAUGACGGGAAAAAUCUUUAACCUUUGAACCCGAAACACCUCUGUCUCAACUGCAGCCAAAACCCAGACUGGGACUUGAACCCACGGUUUCUUUUAAUUAGAAUCACUCACCUAGUGUCUGGACUUACUGAGGCUCAGGUUCUUUGUGUCUCGGCACAGAAGGAAUUCGGUGAGAGGCAAGAAAUAGAUUUAUUAAGAAAGGAUGCUUGGGGAGUUCCUGUCGUGGCACAGCGGAAAUGAAUCCGACUAGGAACCGUGAGGUUGCAGGUUCGAUGCAUGGCCUCGCUCAGUGGGUUAAGGAUCCAGCUUUGCUGUGAGCCGUGGUGUAGGCCGGCGGCUACAGCUCUGAUUUGACCCCUAGCCUGGGAAC
RNAcentral lists this long non-coding RNA (1896 nucleotides) under Sus scrofa (pig). RNAcentral's name for it is "lncRNA (ENSSSCG00045021014.1)". Lineage: Eukaryota; Metazoa; Chordata; Mammalia; Artiodactyla; Suidae. The record is from RNAcentral.